CGAAAUGUUUGGUGAAGAAAAUAUGGCCCGCGGACUAUGAUAAGUUGGACAGCGCUGUACAGAUGCUGCUUGACAUAGAUAUUUCACACAUACAACAGCCAAUGCAAGUGAUGCUGAAGAAUAGGAAAAUGUUUACCCAUUAUGUCUUCAAAAUACCUUGCUGUGUCUCCUGUUACUGAUAAGAAGAGGAAAGCUAUUAUUCUCAAUGAGAAACUUAAGAUAUCUAAACAUUGCAAUUAUGACAAUGGCUUGUGAGUUUGCGCUAUCAAAAUCAACAGUAGCCAAACUCACACUAUGUAUUGUACAAUAUGUAAUGUUAUGUACUGUAUAGACUAUUUUUUAUUUAUUUAGUUUUAUUUUCAACUUGUAAUGUGUUUUUGGAACAUAACAUCAUCAUAACUCAAGGAGAUUAUAUACAACUGUACAAUAUAUGCUAUACAAUUAUGAAGAAAAAACAUCUUUAAAUCAUUAUUGUAAUUAUACAGUACUCACAAAAUAUAAUUUUAAAAAUUAUGUUAAACUUGAUAUUAAUUUAUUCUAUAAAAAUCAGAUUUUUAAAUUAUUUACCUAGGACUUUAAAUCUAUCUAAUUUCAUUGUAUAUUUUUCAUGUUAAAAAAAUAUAUACAAAUACCAAUUUGAUAUAAAAAAAUUAUUAUUAAUGGAAAUAAAGAGAACUCAAAAUAAUAAACAAACUAGUUAAA
Molecule: long non-coding RNA, 702 nt
Organism: Centruroides sculpturatus (bark scorpion)
Lineage: Eukaryota; Metazoa; Arthropoda; Arachnida; Scorpiones; Buthidae
Exons: 3
Source: RefSeq, a predicted model, not a curated record